UGCCAGCCGCCGCGGUAAUACGAAGGGACCUAGCGUAGUUCGGAAUUACUGGGCUUAAAGAGUUCGUAGGUGGUUGAAAAAGUUAGUGGUGAAAUCCCAGAGCUUAACUCUGGAACUGCCAUUAAAACUUUUCAGCUAGAGUAUGAUAGAGGAAAGCAGAAUUUCUAGUGUAGAGGUGAAAUUCGUAGAUAUUAGAAAGAAUACCAAUUGCGAAGGCAGCUUUCUGGAUCAUUACUGACACUCAGAGACGAAGGCUAGGGGAGCAAAAGGGAUUAGAUA
Molecule: ribosomal RNA, 279 nt
Filed under: uncultured bacterium
Lineage: Bacteria
Description: partial 16S ribosomal RNA
Rfam family: Bacterial small subunit ribosomal RNA
Source: RNAcentral